GGAAGCACGCCGGAGCCGGAGGGCCGGGGCGGUCUGUAAAACCGCUGCAUCUUUGCUGAGCAGGUUCAAAUCCUGUUGUUUCCA
This 84-nucleotide transfer RNA is filed under the name Chryseobacterium camelliae. RNAcentral's name for it is "tRNA-Tyr". It matches the Rfam family "tRNA". Rfam says of the family: Transfer RNA (tRNA) molecules are approximately 80 nucleotides in length. Lineage: Bacteria; Pseudomonadati; Bacteroidota; Flavobacteriia; Flavobacteriales; Weeksellaceae. The record is from RNAcentral.